Molecule: long non-coding RNA, 734 nt
Organism: Cynoglossus semilaevis (tongue sole)
Lineage: Eukaryota; Metazoa; Chordata; Actinopteri; Pleuronectiformes; Cynoglossidae
Exons: 6
Source: RefSeq, a predicted model, not a curated record
UUUUCCAUACGUGAUAUAAUCCAGAAAGGUGGAGAGUGGAGGCAGAGCAUUGGAGCGCAGAUAGUUGAACUCAGUCACCAGUAGUGACCAGGAAGGACGUGAUCAGAAAUAAGAUCAGAAGGUCAGUUAAGGUGGAGCAGUUUGGUUAUAAAGGAUGUUGGACCACGAAGUAACCAGGCAAGAGGGAAAAAAAAAGCAAGACCUCAGAGGAGAUAAGACCUCACAGGAGGGUAUCACACUGGGCCAGAUUGUGGUAGUCCGACGCUGUGAGAAUCCCAGCCUUCAUCCCUCGAACCAGACCCUCCAGGAAAUACGCACCCUUCUGACGGUCCCUUGAGACGAAAACCGGCGGCAGACGAGGAGUGGUGUCCCCAACUUAUCAUUACACAGGUUCUAUUUCGGCACGAUUUGUUGGUCCUCCAGCAGUGGCAAAUGGUGUUGAAGAGCCGACAGCGGCAAGAGGCGCACGGGUCACAGCAGGGAACGCGAGCCGAGCAGUUCUCCGUCAUGCGACCGCAACGCCGCAGAGGAGCACUGAGGAACAAUGCUGUGGAGAUUCCGUAAUUUGGGGAAUUUGCGGAGGGUCUCGCCCUGGGUGGACCACCUUCUUGAUCAUGAUCUCUCCCUGUCUGGUGAGUAUCAUGUAUGUUCAUGUAAAGAACACCACACAGACAUCACACAGGCCUUUACAAUAUUAUUUCAAACAUAACUUGGAAUAGAACUUUGUAGCUUAU